RNAcentral lists this ribosomal RNA (200 nucleotides) under uncultured eukaryote. Its description in RNAcentral is "partial 18S ribosomal RNA". It matches the Rfam family "Eukaryotic small subunit ribosomal RNA", at positions 588 to 791 of the family's 1831-position model. The record is from RNAcentral.
GCUCCAAUAGCGUAUAUUAAAGUUGUUGCAGUUAAAAAGCUCGUAGUUGGAUUUCUGGUCUCUUUUGUGAUGGUCCGCCGUGAGGUGAGCACUGUUGCUGGGGAUCUUCUUCUUGAAGGGGUGUGGUGUUCUUAACUGAGUGCUGCAUUUAUUCAAGACCUUUACUUUGAAAAAAUUAGAGUGUUCAAGCAGGCGUUGCU